AUUGAACGCUGGCGGCAUGCCUUACACAUGCAAGUCGAACGGCAGCGGACCUUCGGGUGCCGGCGAGUGGCGAACGGGUGAGUAAUAUAUCGGAACGUACCUUUCAGUGGGGGAUAACGUAGCGAAAGUUACGCUAAUACCGCAUAUUCUGUGAGCAGGAAAGCAGGGGAUCGCAGGACCUUGCGCUGAUUGAGCGGCCGAUAUCAGAUUAGCUAGUUGGUGAGGUAAAGGCUCACCAAGGCGACGAUCUGUAGCGGGUCUGAGAGGAUGAUCCGCCACACUGGAACUGAGACACGGUCCAGACUCCUACGGGAGGCAGCAGUGGGGAAUUUUGGACAAUGGGCGCAAGCCUGAUCCAGCCAUGCCGCGUGAGUGAAGAAGGCCUCGGUUGUAAGGACUCUUCGGUCCGGGAAGGAAAUACG
This 422-nucleotide ribosomal RNA is filed under the name uncultured bacterium. RNAcentral describes it as "bacterial SSU rRNA". It matches the Rfam family "Bacterial small subunit ribosomal RNA", at positions 30 to 455 of the family's 1533-position model. The record is from RNAcentral.